This 253-nucleotide ribosomal RNA is filed under the name uncultured bacterium. Its description in RNAcentral is "partial 16S ribosomal RNA". It matches the Rfam family "Bacterial small subunit ribosomal RNA", at positions 524 to 776 of the family's 1533-position model. The record is from RNAcentral.
UACGAAGGGGGCUAGCGUUGCUCGGAAUUACUGGGCGCAAAGGGAGCGUAGGCGGACAUUUAAGUCAGGGGUGAAAUCCCAGAGCUCAACUCUGGAACUGCCUUUGAUACUGGGUGUCUUGAGUGUGAUAGAGGUAUGUGGAACUCCGAGUGUAGAGGUGAAAUUCGUAGAUAUUCGGAAGAACACCAGUGGCGAAGGCGACAUACUGGAUCAUUACUGACGCUGAGGCUCGAAAGCGUGGGGAGCAAACAGG